AUGAGCCCACAAAGGUUUCUAAAAAAAAGUGAGCCACAGAGCCAGCUGGUCGGCACAGAGAGAGACGGACGGGAUGGACUCGGUCGCGGUCAGCCAGUCAUUCUCCUCGUCCACCCAAGUCUGAAAAGAAGUGCACUCCCACUGCGCCGCCGUCCUCCACUGAAUCGAGUGGCUCCUCCUCCUUCCCCACUCCCCACUCUGCCGACUUAUCUCCGGGCUGCGCCACCUGGACCGGAGGCUACAUUGCCGAGCGAGCAGGGGAGCGGAGCGAGCGCCCGGCGGCUGGCGGCGACGUGCCGGAGAGGAGCACGGAGGCCGCGCGCCGGCGACGUCAUCGUCCUUCGACUUCCGCAGGAGGUACGAAAUCACCUCUUUCCCCCCCUUUAUAGAUUCAGCUACUCGUGA
This 405-nucleotide ribosomal RNA is filed under the name Triticum aestivum (bread wheat). RNAcentral describes it as "partial small subunit ribosomal RNA". The record is from RNAcentral. Lineage: Eukaryota; Viridiplantae; Streptophyta; Magnoliopsida; Poales; Poaceae.